RNAcentral lists this ribosomal RNA (497 nucleotides) under uncultured bacterium. RNAcentral describes it as "partial 16S ribosomal RNA". It matches the Rfam family "Bacterial small subunit ribosomal RNA", at positions 28 to 507 of the family's 1533-position model. The record is from RNAcentral.
GAUGAACGCUGGCGGCGUGCCUAAUACAUGCAAGUCGAGCGAACAGACGAGGAGCUUACUCCUCUGACGUUAGCGGCGGACGGGUGAGUAACACGUGGAUAACCUACCUAUAAGACUGGGAUAACUUCGGGAAACCGGAGCUAAUACCGGAUAACAUGUUGAACCGCAUGGUUCAACAGUGAAAGACGGUCUUGCUGUCACUUAUAGAUGGAUCCGCGUCGCAUUAGCUAGUUGGUAAGGUAACGGCUUACCAAGGCAACGAUGCGUAGCCGACCUGAGAGGGUGAUCGGCCACACUGGAACUGAGACACGGUCCAGACUCCUACGGGAGGCAGCAGUAGGGAAUCUUCCGCAAUGGGCGAAAGCCUGACGGAGCAACGCCGCGUGAGUGAAGAAGGUCUUCGGAUCGUAAAACUCUGUUAUUAGGGAAGAACAAAUGUGUAAGUAACUAUGCACGUCUUGACGGUACCUAAUCAGAGAGCCACGGCUAACUACGUG